UACGUAGGGGGCAAGCGUUGUCCGGAUUUAUUGGGCGUAAAGCGUGCGCAGGCGGUGAUGUAAGACAGGUGUGAAAUCCCCCGGGCUUAACCUGGGAACUGCAUUUGUGACUGCAUGGCUGGAGUGCGGCAGAGGGGGAUGGAAUUCCGCGUGUAGCAGUGAAAUGCGUAGAUAUGCGGAGGAACACCGAUGGCGAGGCAAUCCCCUGGGCCUGCACUGACGCUCAUGCACGAAAGCGUGGGGAGCAAACAGG
Molecule: ribosomal RNA, 253 nt
Filed under: uncultured bacterium
Lineage: Bacteria
Description: partial 16S ribosomal RNA
Rfam family: Bacterial small subunit ribosomal RNA
Source: RNAcentral